RNAcentral lists this ribosomal RNA (432 nucleotides) under uncultured bacterium. RNAcentral's name for it is "partial 16S ribosomal RNA". It matches the Rfam family "Bacterial small subunit ribosomal RNA", at positions 29 to 507 of the family's 1533-position model. The record is from RNAcentral.
ACGAACGCUGGCGGCAGGCCUCACCCAUGCAAGUCGCGCGAGGACUUCGGUCCUAGCGGCGGACGGGUGAGUAACGCGUGGGAACGUGCCCUUUGCUUCGGAAUAGCCCUGGGAAACUGGGAGUAAUACCGGAUGAGCCCUUUGGGGGAAAGAUUUAUCGGCGAAGGAUCGGCCCGCGUUGGAUUAGGUAGUUGGUGGGGUAAUGACCUACCAAGCCGACGAUCCAUAGCUGGUUUGAGAGGAUGAUCAGCCACACUGGGACUGAGACACGGCCCAGACUCCUACGGGAGGCAGCAGUGGGGAAUCUUAGACAAUGGGGGAAACCCUGAUCUAGCCAUGCCGCGUGAGCGAUGAAGGCCUUAGGGUUGUAAAGCUCUUUCAGCUGGGAAGAUAAUGACGGUACCAGCAGAAGAAGCCCCGGCUAACUCCGUG